RNAcentral lists this ribosomal RNA (863 nucleotides) under uncultured Gammaproteobacteria bacterium. RNAcentral describes it as "bacterial SSU rRNA". It matches the Rfam family "Bacterial small subunit ribosomal RNA", at positions 60 to 957 of the family's 1533-position model. The record is from RNAcentral. Lineage: Bacteria; Pseudomonadati; Pseudomonadota; Gammaproteobacteria.
AGUCGAACGUGAAAGCACUUCGGUGUGAGUAGAGUGGCGGACGGGUGAGUAACGCGUGGGAAUCUGCCCAGUAGUGGGGGACAACUACCGGAAACGGUAGCUAAUACCGCAUACGCCCUAUGGGGGAAAGGCUUCGGCCGCUAUUGGAUGAGCCCGCGUCAGAUUAGCUAGUUGGUAGGGUGAAGGCCUACCAAGGCAACGAUCUGUAGCUGGUCUGAGAGGACGAACAGCCACACUGGGACUGAGACACGGCCCAGACUCCUACGGGAGGCAGCAGUGGGGAAUAUUGGACAAUGGGCGAAAGCCUGAUCCAGCAAUGCCGCGUGUGUGAAGAAGGCCUGCGGGUUGUAAAGCACUUUCAGUUGGGAAGAUGAUGACGUUACCAACAGAAGAAGCACCGGCUAAAUCCGUGCCAGCAGCCGCGGUAAUACGGAUGGUGCGAGCGUUAAUCGGAAUUACUGGGCGUAAAGCGCGCGUAGGCGGCUAAGUCAGUCAGAAGUGAAAGCCCCGGGCUCAACCUGGGAAUUGCUUUUGAUACUGCUUGGCUAGAGUUUGGUAGAGGAUAGUGGAAUUCCAGGUGUAGCGGUGAAAUGCGUAGAUAUCUGGAGGAACAUCAGUGGCGAAGGCGACUGUCUGGACCAAAACUGACGCUGAGGUGCGAAAGCGUGGGUAGCAAACAGGAUUAGAUACCCUGGUAGUCCACGCCGUAAACGAUGUCAACUAGCCGUCGGGUCUAUUUACAGACUUGGUGGCGCAGCUAACGCGAUAAGUUGACCGCCUGGGGAGUACGGCCGCAAGGUUAAAACUCAAAGGAAUUGACGGGGGCCCGCACAAGCGGUGGAGCAUGUGGUUUAAUUCGAUGC